RNAcentral lists this ribosomal RNA (490 nucleotides) under Papilio syfanius ssp. CBGPFLC_00142. Its description in RNAcentral is "partial 16S ribosomal RNA". The record is from RNAcentral. Lineage: Eukaryota; Metazoa; Arthropoda; Insecta; Lepidoptera; Papilionidae.
AAACAUGUCUUUUUGAAAAUAAUUUAAAGUCUAAUCUGCCCACUGAUNAAAUUAUUAAAGGGCUGCAGUAUUUUGACUGUACAAAGGUAGCAUAAUCAUUAGUCUCUUAAUUGGUGACUUGUAUGAAAGAUUGGAUGAAAUAUAUACUGUCUCUAUUUAAUUUAUAAAAUUUAAUUUUUUAGUAAAAAAGCUAAAAUGAAUUUAAAAGACGAGAAGACCCUAUAGAGUUUAAUAAUUUAUUUAAUUAUUAUUAAUGUAUAAAUUUUAAAAUUAAAAUUGAAUAAAUUAUUUUGUUGGGGUGAUAGAAAAAUUAAAUUAACUUUUUUUUUAUUUUAUACAUUAAUUUAUGAAUAAAUGAUCCAUUAAUAAUGAUUAAAAGAAAAAAUUACCUUAGGGAUAACAGCGUAAUUUUUUUUUUUAGUUCAAAUAGGAAAAAAAGUUUGCGACCUCGAUGUUGGAUUAAGAUAAAAAUUAAAUGCAAAAGUUAAAA